Molecule: ribosomal RNA, 251 nt
Filed under: uncultured prokaryote
Description: partial 16S rRNA
Rfam family: Bacterial small subunit ribosomal RNA
Source: RNAcentral
ACGGAGGGUGCAAGCGUUAUUCGGAUUUAUUGGGCGUAAAGCGCGUGUAGGCGGUCUUGUAAGUCUGAUGUGAAAGCCCCGGGCUCAACCUGGGAAGUGCAUUGGAAACUGUGAGACUUGAAUACGGGAGAGGGUAGUGGAAUUCCUGGUGUAGGGGUGAAAUUCGUAGAUAUCGGGAGGAACACCAGUGGCGAAGGCGGCCAACUGGACCGAUAUUGACGCUGAGACGCGAAAGCGUGGGGAGCAAACAG